Molecule: ribosomal RNA, 497 nt
Filed under: uncultured bacterium
Lineage: Bacteria
Description: partial 16S ribosomal RNA
Rfam family: Bacterial small subunit ribosomal RNA
Source: RNAcentral
GAUGAACGCUGGCGGCGUGCCCAAUACAUGCAAGUCGAGCGAACAGACGAGGAGCUUGCUCCUCUGACGUUAGCGGCGGACGGGUGAGUAACACGUGGAUAACCUACCUAUAAGACUGGGAUAACUUCGGGAAACCGGAGCUAAUACCGGAUAAUAUAUUGAACCGCAUGGUUCAAUAGUGAAAGACGGUUUUGCUGUCACUUAUAGAUGGAUCCGCGCCGCAUUAGCUAGUUGGUAAGGUAACGGCUUACCAAGGCAACGAUGCGUAGCCGACCUGAGAGGGUGAUCGGCCACACUGGAACUGAGACACGGUCCAGACUCCUACGGGAGGCAGCAGUAGGGAAUCUUCCGCAAUGGGCGAAAGCCUGACGGAGCAACGCCGCGUGAGUGAUGAAGGUCUUCGGAUCGUAAAACUCUGUUAUUAGGGAAGAACAAAUGUGUAAGUAACUAUGCACGUCUUGACGGUACCUAAUCAGAAAGCCACGGCUAACUACGCG